CUGGCAGGUCACUUUCAGAAGUGCAGUUAUCUGUUUCUCAUUCAAGCGCUUUGAGUACCUUUGUCCCUCUACAAUCUUGCAGACUUCCAUUGGUAAGUAAUUAGGUCUCUGCUGAUUUCCAACUUGCAGACAAGGCCACUGGGUAUGCUGAAUAACAAACCCAUAAGUUUCUCGAAAAUAUUCAAUUACAGAUUUCAAAGUGCCCUUUUCAUCAACAGGGAAAGUUAACUCUCUUGUUGCUUGAGAUGUUAAAUUGGCGAUGCGGUACUUCCGCCGCAUAUUUCCACGAUGAGUAACCUCCACCUUCACACCUCUCAGUGCUUUUUUGAUCUUUACACGGUCAGCAUCAGACAGUGGUCUAGAUGACACAUCCCGGUUCAGAAGCUGUGCCACAAAAUCAACGACCAGCAAUGGCUCAAUGAAGGAAGUGGAAGACAUGUCGAUGUUCAAUGAUAAUCCCAUUUGUGUAGGGCGAAUACUUUGAUAGAAACCCCGCCAGCUCUCUAAACCCUCUCCCAAUGGUUGUCGUCUCCCUAAAUUAGGAGAAUAGAAAGAACGACCUACUGGACAAUACUUAGAUGUUGGCAACUCACGCAGCACAAUAUCCAGAACCUGCAGCGCCUCCUGGGGUGCAUCAGCCUGCCUCCCUUCUAAAAACAUCCCUAAGUGAUGAAGAUCGGCUCGGGAAGCGAAUUUGAUCACAACUUUGAAUUCCCUAUCCCUCCUGGCACCACCAGGCCCAUCCUCAUCAUCAGUAAGAGUGAUUUUGAACUCUUUUUGAACAAAUGGAAGGGGCCCUGCAGUGUAUAGACUUUUUCUUCCAUCAUAAGCUGGAAGUCUCUUUCCAAGAUGAGAUUCUUGGUAAAGAAGCACCAGCUGUGCCAUGACAGCACGGUUGACCCCUCGUGAAGAUACUUCUGGAGUAAUGGUGACAUCAUACUGAUGCAAGUCUUUGUCAGGCAGCUCAGCAAAGAAGUGAUUGGCUUUCACUAUGCAACUCUGACCAAACUUUCCCUUCCCUGGACGCAGCGGAAACCUUAGUGAUUUGCUUGACACAGGUGGAAUUGUAUGGGUUGCAGCUGCUUCUGGCUGCACAGCCAGUUGCUGGAACUGUUGUGUCACUUGCAGAGCUGACAUCUCAGGUGGCUCAGAUGAGGAACCCACUUCCAUGGAUGUGUCAGCUGGUCUUCCACAAGUAAUGGGCUGAGUAGUCAUUACAGCUUGAUGUUGAGUCUGUGUGGUUGCUUGGUGCAGCUCGGGAAUUGGUGGCCUAGAAGGCCCACCAGAAGGUGCUCCACGGCCACCUAUGCCACCAUGUUGCUGGAGUGGUCCUCCACCUCGUUGUUGAUGCUGCUGAGUCCCUCUGCCCUGCUGAUAGUAUUCAGCCUGUCCACCAUAUGGCUGUUGAGGGGCCAUUCCACCACGUGGAGCUCCUCCACUACCACGGCCACCAUACCCUCCCUGUUGUGGCCUCCAACCUCUUCCUCCACCUUGGUAACCACCUUCUUGUUGUAGCUGCUGUGGUGGACGCUGGCCACGACCCUGUCCACCACCUUGGUAGCCACCUUCUUGUUGUGACUGCUGGGGAGGAGGACGCAUGCCGCGACCCUGUCCUCCACCUUGGUAGCCACCUUCAUGUUGAUGCUGCUGGGGUGGACGCUGGCCACGACCCUGCCCUCCACCUUGGUAGCCACCUAAUUGUUGUUGAUGCUGUGGUGGUGGACGCAUGCCACGACCCUGUCCUCCACCUUGGUAUCCACCUUCUUGUUGCUGCUGGGGUGGAUACUGGCCACGACCCUGUCCCCCAACAGUUUCUUGAGACCCAGAGCUCUCACCUGAACCAGGUAACUCACUUCUCCUCUUCCUCGCCAUCUUAUCACCUCAAAAGACGUCGCCGCCGUAAAAGCCAAAUUCCGUUCUCUCCAGUAAACCACAGCACCCAAAACGUACACAGAAAAUUAAUAGAAAAAAAAAACGGCAGAAAAAGUACUGAGAGAGAGCUAGAGAGAGAAAAGGAGUGAGGGGUGAAG
This 2030-nucleotide unclassified non-coding RNA is filed under the name Hevea brasiliensis (rubber tree). The record is from RNAcentral. Lineage: Eukaryota; Viridiplantae; Streptophyta; Magnoliopsida; Malpighiales; Euphorbiaceae.